AUUGAACGCUGGCGGCAGGCCUCACACAUGCAAGUCGAACGAGUGGCGGACGGGUGAGUAAUGUCUGGGAAACUGCCUGAUGGAGGGGGAUAACUACUGGAAACGGUAGCUAAUACCGCAUACCAUCAGAUGUGCCCAGAUGGGAUUAGCUAGUUGGUGGGGUAACGGCUCACCAAGGCGACGAUCCCUAACUGGUCUGAGAGGAUGACCAGCCACACUGGAACUGAGACACGGUCCAGACUCCUACGUGAGGCAGCAGUGGGGAAUAUUGCACAAUGGGCGCAAGCCUGAUGCAGCCAUGCCGCGUGUGUGAAGAAGGCCUUCGGAUUGUAAAGUACUUUCAGCUGGGAGGCGUUACCCACAGAAGAAGCACCGGCUAACUCCGUGCCAGCAGCCGCGGUAAUAC
This 406-nucleotide ribosomal RNA is filed under the name uncultured bacterium. RNAcentral's name for it is "partial 16S ribosomal RNA". It matches the Rfam family "Bacterial small subunit ribosomal RNA", at positions 30 to 526 of the family's 1533-position model. The record is from RNAcentral.